GUGGGUGUAGCUCAGUGGUAGAGUGCAUGUUUAGCACGCACGAGGUCCUGGGUUCAAUCCCCAGUACCACCA
This 72-nucleotide transfer RNA is filed under the name Camelus bactrianus (Bactrian camel). It matches the Rfam family "tRNA". Rfam says of the family: Transfer RNA (tRNA) molecules are approximately 80 nucleotides in length. Their secondary structure includes four short double-helical elements and three loops (D, anti-codon, and T loops). Further hydrogen bonds mediate the characteristic L-shaped molecular structure. tRNAs have two regions of fundamental functional importance: the anti-codon, which is responsible for specific mRNA codon recognition, and the 3' end, to which the tRNAs corresponding amino acid is attached (by aminoacyl-tRNA synthetases). tRNAs cope with the degeneracy of the genetic code in two manners: having more than one tRNA (with a specific anti-codon) for a particular amino acid; and 'wobble' base-pairing, i.e. permitting non-standard base-pairing at the 3rd anti-codon position. RNAcentral also lists the same sequence under 2 other names. Lineage: Eukaryota; Metazoa; Chordata; Mammalia; Artiodactyla; Camelidae. The record is from Rfam by way of RNAcentral.